Long non-coding RNA from Bombus huntii, 1803 nucleotides. RefSeq lists it as uncharacterized. The record is from RefSeq and is a predicted model, not a curated record. The transcript is spliced from 3 exons. Lineage: Eukaryota; Metazoa; Arthropoda; Insecta; Hymenoptera; Apidae.
AUAUGUAAGUACGUAUAUCGAUUAAUCGAAAUAUCGUAUAUAUUGAUAAUGUAGGAGAAAAUAAAAAUUUGGAAAUUUAUUUAAAUUUUGUUUCCGAUGCAAAAAGCUAACAUUUCAUGGGAUAUAUCGAUCGGUACUUGAAAAUAAGAUUUGAAAGUACAACACGGAAGGAUUAUUGCGCUCAUCGCGUUCAAAGUGAUUGUAAGUAGUAGUACAUAUAUCGUUCGAUUUGGAUCGAAUGUCUGCAUUCCCCACGCUUGUUCCUGCAUCUCUAGAAAUAGGACACUUUCAGCGAUUUCCUCGACCACUUAUAUUGUCAUCUCAACACCUAAAGAAUACAAUCUACCGCAGUGCAGUGUGGAGAUACUUGAAAUAUCUUUCCAGAACAACUUUGAAACUAGAGAAAGUUUCAUAGUUAUCGAACUGUUAUUCUGUUACCCUAAAUGUGCGGGCCGAUAGGUCCGCUCUAAAGUAAACAUCUGGUAUCAAUCAGCAACACCAGAGCAGAUGCACCCACGAGGGUACUUAAGUACAAGAUUGGAAAGAAUAGAUUCCCACCUCGUGAAAACCAUGGUGACGAGGACAACCCUCAGGAUCAGUUGCAACCUGACUGAUCGUCACCUAGUUGAGAAUUCGCAACACUGUUGAUGAAAUUCCAAUAUUACGUUCAAAGACUUUCAUGAGUCACUGUACAUUGUACACGUUAUCAAUGGUAAAAAAAAAAAAAAACAGAUUCUUUGGUGUACAUGUUGUGUAUUCAUCGCUACGGGCAAUCUGUGGUACACAGGAUGUUAACAAUCAUAGUAAUCAUCCAGUAACAUUAGAUGGAAGGGAAGGCGAGGAGAUGAUGAAGGGAAUGACAAUAGACGCUUUGGUGAAAAAAGGGUGCGUGAAAAGGAAAGAAGAGGGAUUGCGACGAAGAUAUCAAGAUCGAGAGUGAGGACUGCGACUGAAGUCCUGGUGACCUCGAAAACAAGACGGCCUCGCGACCGGAGACUCCAGAGGAUCGAUAUUCGCACCGCCAUUCGUGGACACGUCCAACUCUAUGCAGAUGUCACUCGGCCAGUACCGCUUCCGUCUCUACGGCAGAGCUCGAUGAAAAUCAAGCUAAAGUCGAAUUUACACCUUUUCACUUUGGAUGGUCAUCACGGAUGAUUCAUCGAAAAACAUGUUUUCAUCUGCGUUUCAUCCAGAGUGACUAGUGAAUAGAGUAAAAUCAAUCUCUGCUCUUGAUUCCUUGAAUGGAUGAUUCAUUCGUAGUGAGACGAUUCGGACGAGUUUAAUUAUAUUUUAUAAUGUGCGUGCAUGCUGUUAUAAGUACGGUUAUACUAAAUGCAUAUUUAGACCGCAUUUCUAUGACACAUAUCGCAUGAAAUGAAUAUGGAUUUGGCCGAUUGUUACCAUUUCCUGGGCAGUCCUUUAUUACAAAUUUUAAUAACAAAUAAGAGAAUGGAACAGGAGAAUAAGACGUAUUUUUUAAGAGAGGAGAAUAGAGAAGACUAUACUUCGUUUCAAGAUCUAUCAUUCUACUGGAUCAACCUAGAGAAGAAUAUUUCAGUUAUCUGUAUAGAUACUACUGCUUUUAUCUUUCACAUUCACUAUAAAAAAAUUAUCUGUGAUGAUCAUCCAAAGUGAAAAGAUCUAAAUUCGGCAUAACCGGAAAAUCAAUCGUUCGAGGUGCAAGCAGCAAACGGCAUGAAUAAAGCCGGAAAGAAACAUCUCGAUUUUGAGAAAGGCGGUCUACAUCGAGCGAACGUUAUGUCGAGACGGCGUACCGCGUAACCAGGUGAACAGAUCGGCAAA